Molecule: long non-coding RNA, 229 nt
Filed under: Vigna radiata
Lineage: Eukaryota; Viridiplantae; Streptophyta; Magnoliopsida; Fabales; Fabaceae
Description: long non-coding RNA (VRAD_LNC004961)
Source: RNAcentral
GCCUGGUUUAGAACUGAGGGGUGCAUAUAGGGAAAUCUGGGGGUGCAAGGGUAAAAACUGACUGUUUGGCCCAUCUGUCAUUAUUUAUCAAAUAAAAUCUGAUUUUGGGCUUUAAAUUGCAAUUUGAACCAAUAAAACUCUAACUUCAGCUGCACAAAUAAAUAUUAGAACAUCCAAGAAUAAUUUAUGCAAUUAAAAUUACUUUUUAAGCCCUUUUUAUUUCCAAACA